Molecule: long non-coding RNA, 1278 nt
Organism: Patiria miniata (bat star)
Lineage: Eukaryota; Metazoa; Echinodermata; Asteroidea; Valvatida; Asterinidae
Exons: 3
Source: RefSeq, a predicted model, not a curated record
ACCGUACGGUGGUGGCCUACGGUGGUCGAGUGAGGAUUUUUUUCUGUCCGAAAUACACCUCUUCCGAUCAAUCCUUCUCCCAAAAUUUCGCAUGUAUGAAUAAAGGAUAUCGGAGAAACCAAAUUUUAUCAAACGGGGGGUCGUUUUAAAUGGACAAAUCGUAAUAAACAGGACGUCAAUUUACUCACUUCUUUCCACUGCUGGACGCCAUGUUGUAGUCUGGUACUGGGCAGUACCACGUUGAUUUUGUAAGGAAGACGUGUCGACACCACUUUGUCUUGCAUCCAACAUUUUCAUGCCCAAUGGAGGUAGGCCCAAGGAACAUGAAUCAGUGUCCCCGGAGACUGCUCCUCCUGCUUGUAAUAACUUUGAUCAAUGGAUGCUGCGGCCAUCAGGGUCCCAGUGAUGUCAUCAAGAAUCAAAAAUUAGGUCUGAGUGUUGGGGUGCUGUCAGGCCUCCUUGUUUUCCUGAUUGGACUCGCAAUAUUUGUCUACUGGCCGACGAGGGCAACAACCUCCCGCCAUGCACCUGUAAUCCAACAUCAGAUUUCCUUGGCAAGCACGAUGGACUAAAAAUAAAAUGUGGUGACGCAUAUAGGAGAAGGAAUGGCUAGAAGAGAUCCAUUCCUGCAGAGUUUGCUGUCACCGGCUGGUUAUACUUUAAUACAGUCGAAUCUCGUUAGUACAAACUCUUUUAAUACAAAAUUCUGGUUAUAACAAACAUAAGCCUUAGUCCCGACUGCGCAUUUAUGUGCACAAUGAAUGGGACUGAUGUCCCUCUUAAUACAAAAUUCUGAUAUAACACACAAUUUGGCUAGGUCCGAACGACUUUGUAUUCACUAGACUCGACUGUAAUUUAAUAUGACGACGUGAACAAUUGGGGUAGAUUUUGACUGGAUUGAUUGAUAAGAAUCAUCUUUAUUUAAAAAAUAAAAAUUAUCAGAUUUUCAACAGAGUGGAUGGUGCAUAAAUUAUGACUGCUUUUAUAGAAACCGGAGACUCACUGCCAGUCUGAGAUAUUGAUUGGACUGAUUGAAAUGAUUUGACCUGAUCAUGAUGGUGGGCCUCCAUGAGCUGCUUUAGAGAAUUAUGGAAUUGCUGUAGUGCUGCUGUGGCAGUGGGGUUUGGUUGGUAAUAAAAUCCCUGGUGUAUUUGUUUCCAAUUUGGCCGCCACCAAAAAAUAGUAGGACAAUAUUGGAGUUUGCCUCUUUUUGACGUCAAAUUUAAAGGGAAUAUACAACAUUUGCAAACAUUGAAAAAUAAAACUACCAAGUUUUUA